This 287-nucleotide long non-coding RNA is filed under the name Pan troglodytes (chimpanzee). Its description in RNAcentral is "long non-coding RNA NONPTRT011515". Lineage: Eukaryota; Metazoa; Chordata; Mammalia; Primates; Hominidae. The record is from RNAcentral.
CUCUAUCUGCUCUGGGUCCCUCAUCUCGAUUCUCUGCUGUACUCUACUGCAGUGGCUCUGGCAAUCAGAAACUGUGAAAUAGAAAUUUCAUGUGGGGCGAUGAGAGUAAUACAUUUGGGCAGGAGCCCUUUGAGUACCUCUCCACUGAGAUUAGGCAAAAGAGUUUCAUACUCUGCUGGCUGAAGCCUUUCACCUGCCUACCAAACUUUGUGAAUACAGCAAAUUAAAUUAGUAUGGUUACUCUGGCUGCUGCUUAAGAACCUAGAGGUUUGGCAGAGAAGGAGUAG